GCGGUGGAGCAUGUGGUUUAAUUCGAAGCAACGCGAAGAACCUUACCAGGUCUUGACAUCCCUGGCAACCCGAGAGAUCGGGCGUUCCCCUUCGGGGGACAGGGUGACAGGUGGUGCAUGGUUGUCGUCAGCUCGUGUCGUGAGAUGUUGGGUUAAGUCCCGCAACGAGCGCAACCCUCGACCUUAGUUGCCAGCAUUCAGUUUGGGCACUCUAAGGUGACUGCCGGCUAAAAGUCGGAGGAAGGUGGGGAUGACGUCAAAUCAUCAUGCCCCUUAUGACCUGGGCUACACACGUGCUACAAUGGGCGGUACAAAGGGUCGCGAACCCGCGAGGGGGGAGCCAAUCCCAAAAAGCCGCUCUCAGUUCGGAUUGCAGGCUGCAACUCGCCUGCAUGAAGCCGGAAUCGCUAGUAAUCGCGGAUCAGCAUGCCGCGGUGAAUACGUUCCCGGGCCUU
Molecule: ribosomal RNA, 455 nt
Filed under: uncultured Anoxybacillus sp.
Lineage: Bacteria; Bacillati; Bacillota; Bacilli; Caryophanales; Anoxybacillaceae
Description: bacterial SSU rRNA
Rfam family: Bacterial small subunit ribosomal RNA
Source: RNAcentral